GUGCGUUAGGGAUUGAACGGUUUGUUUGAAAUCCUUUUUGUUUUUUCUUUCAAAAACAAAAAGAUUGAGUAGUGAAAGCCCGACUCUAA
RNAcentral lists this small RNA (89 nucleotides) under Algibacter lectus. Its description in RNAcentral is "Flavo-1 RNA". The record is from RNAcentral. Lineage: Bacteria; Pseudomonadati; Bacteroidota; Flavobacteriia; Flavobacteriales; Flavobacteriaceae.